RNAcentral lists this ribosomal RNA (497 nucleotides) under uncultured bacterium. Its description in RNAcentral is "partial 16S ribosomal RNA". It matches the Rfam family "Bacterial small subunit ribosomal RNA", at positions 28 to 507 of the family's 1533-position model. The record is from RNAcentral.
GAUGAACGCUGGCGGCGUGCCUAAUACAUGCAAGUCGAGCGAACAGAUAAGGAGCUUGCUCCUUUGACGUUAGCGGCGGACGGGUGAGUAACACGUGGGUAACCUACCUAUAAGACUGGAAUAACUCCGGGAAACCGGGGCUAAUGCCGGAUAACAUUUAGAGCCGCAUGGUUCUAAAGUGAAAGAUGGUUUUGCUAUCACUUAUAGAUGGACCCGCGCCGUAUUAGCUAGUUGGUAAGGUAACGGCUUACCAAGGCAACGAUACGUAGCCGACCUGAGAGGGUGAUCGGCAACACUGGAACGGAGACACGGUCCAGACUCCUACGGGAGGCAGCAGUAGGGAAUCUUCCGCAAUGGGCGAAAGACUGGCGGAGCAACGCCGCGUGAGUGAUGAAGGUCUUCGGAUCGUAAAACUCUGUUAUUAGGGAAGAACAAAUGUGUAAGUAACUAUGCACGUCUUGACGGUACCUAAUCAGAAAGCCACGGCUAACUACGUG